RNAcentral lists this unclassified non-coding RNA (227 nucleotides) under Arceuthobium guatemalense. The record is from RNAcentral. Lineage: Eukaryota; Viridiplantae; Streptophyta; Magnoliopsida; Santalales; Viscaceae.
AUAAGUCAUCAAAAUAUUUUUCCAAGACAUUGUGACAGAUGGAUAUAUUUGGUUAUGUGCGUUGUCUUCUCGUUCACGUAGCUUGUGUACGAUUGGAUAAAAUAUUAGUGUUCUUGCCAUCAAAUGCCUUACAUGCUUUGGUUAAUAUUGUAUGGUAUUAAUAUUGUCAAGUUAUAACUAAAAUGCCAAUAGAUUGUCGGUCUCAUCCUUGUGAAAUGAGAGAAUCC